This is a long non-coding RNA of Mustela putorius furo (domestic ferret), 4409 nucleotides long. The record is from Ensembl. Lineage: Eukaryota; Metazoa; Chordata; Mammalia; Carnivora; Mustelidae.
AUGUUCUAUGGCUACAACCGCUGUGACCUCAGACGUGUUAACCAGAAUGAAGCAAGACUGUUCACACGUGGUUUCUUCCUCAAGGGCUCAAAGAAUGCUGAUAUUCUCAGGGGCACAAGCACUCUCCUCUGCGGCUCGAGCACCCACAGGCCUGAAGGGACCGCCACUCGCCGUCCACGCGGACUCCACGCUGCGUCCGCACAGCCUUUUCCGCGGCGGCACACAAGGAUGUCUGCCUCAUACUGGGGCCACUCACGCGCGGCGCCCAACAAAGGACACGCUGAGAGAGCCCGAGGUCCCAGUCACGACGCGCACCGUGGAACACGGAGCGUAGGGUCGUAAAAGUCCUGUAAAGUAAAGCCUCAGGCCCCGCGCGAGAAACUGGGAGACUUCUGGGAGUGGCCGCUCGGCCUGGCCGUGCGCAAGCGCACAGGACAGACCUGCUGGAGGCCAACUCCUGAGGCGAAGGGUUGAUGUCCGGGUUGUGCUUGCUUGAAGAAGGCGAGUCCGGCUGAUACCCGACCAGGGAGCUCUGAGAAGGGCACUGCGGAGCUUUUCUCUUCCAAGGCCUCAGGCGUGUGUGUGAGGGUCCGCCCUGUUGUGAGGGUCAGUGAUGUGGCCCCGAGGACCAUGGUGUGCUUGCCAGGCUGUGAGCAUCUGAAUGUGGGAUGCUGAGUUUGUUGUGUCCCCUGAAAUAAAGACAGCCUGUUCAGUAAUGUAUGUAAAUAUCAACUUUUAUACUCAGGGAAAGGUCUAGAGUGUCCAAUGAAGUGUUAAGGAAAUGAUUAUAAAGUGUUAAGGAAAUGGUUGCUUUCCUGUGACGUGACAUUCUUCAUUCCAUUGCAUUCUUCAUCCUUAGAAACAUUAAAGAUGGACUGAAUUAAUUAGAAAUGGCAAAAAAAAAAAAACCUGAAGAAAUAUCUUGUAAAUAUUUUUAUUAUUUUGGUUUAGGCUACAGGUUUUCUAAACAUAAGCAAGGCGAGGAAUCCAGAGAGAAUUUUCACAUAAUCGUUAUUUGUAAAUCUUUAUGGUUAUUUAUAAAUACCCCAAAUAUUUGAAUAGUAUAAGUAAAUAAAGCAAAACCAAAAACAACAUCAUGAAUUUGGGGGAAAUAUUUAUAACAUUAAAUGGACAAACAAGUAUUAAUUUAAUGUCUGUCACUUAAAAUAUUGGUCAAUACCCUGAAGAGAAAAAGGAGCAGAGACUAAAAAAUUAAUCAUUCACAAAUACCAAUAAAGUAGUCAAAAAACAUAGUGGAGCCACAACCUAAGACUUCUUGAUUAUGAAGGGGUGGAAAAGUAAUCACUUCUGAGCAGCUGGUUGAGACCCCUGUAAUAAAAGACAAGAUUAACAGCAGAAAAACAGCUUAUCGAGAUGGGCAGCAGGUAUCACCUAGGAGAAAUCUAAAACAAAAACGGCUCAAAUAGGUGGCUUAGAAUUCCAGAUUAUAUACCAUCGUCAACAAAGCAUACGUUUAUAGAAAAUGACAGGACAAAAGAAAGCAGUUUUAGGCUUCUAAGAGCAGCAAACUGUGGGAAGGUAAGUAUCAAGAGGAAACAAAUGGAGUAGGGUUUGUUUGCAGAUUCCUCUGAUGCCCUCUCUGGGGUGAGUAGAGUCUGUCUCCUGCAAAAUAAUUUUUUUGCCUUUAGGCAGAAAAUGGGGAGUUCUUUCUGGGUUUGCAUCUCCUUUUUUUUUUUUUAAGAUUUUAUUUACUUAUUUGGUAGAGGUCACAAGUAGUCGGAGAGGUGGGCAGAGAGAGAGGGGGAAGCAGGUUCCCUGCUGAGCAGAGAGCCCGUUGUAGGGCUCGAUCCCAGGACCCUGAGACUUUGACCUGAGCUGAAGGCAAAGGCUUUAACCCACUGAGCCACCCAGGCACCCCUGGGUUUAUAUCUUCUUAAUUGCCUUCAGCUCAGAGUAACUUUUAUGUCAAGGAGGCAUAUUUAGAGGUGACAUAUUCUGGUUUCCUUCAGUCACUUCUCUCUUUCAUUAAAUCAGUUCUUAGAUGAAUUGCUCAUGAAUCUCCUGAAUAAUCCUAUACACCUACCAUUUCUAAAACUGUCCUUAGCAGGCUCUUUCUCCUCAUUUUCUUUAUAUAUUUUUUCAUAGGCUACCACGUUCUUUUUAUUAGCAUCAUUGGUCUCUUCCUUAUAUAUAUGAAAAAUAUCAUGAAUUACUUACUAAGUUUUCCCUGAAAUUCUUGCUGGUCCUCAAUAACCCCUCAACUAGGCAAUAGGCCAGGAGGCAUUUCUGUCCUCUUGGUCAGGUACAGAAGAAAGAAACAAAAAUCAAAACUCUUCAAUUUCACAAUUGAGGUCUAGCUGAUCGCCUACAAAUAUUAUGCUCCCCUUAAGAACAUUUAAGUUUAUUUGACUUUCUGGAAGUUCUUAAUGGGGAGCAAGAGAGGAAGAUCCUAAAGCAUCACAGACAAGGUUCUUGCCCACACAUGCUGUUCUGAGUGCCUAGAUCCAAAUGAAAAAUUAAAGAUUUAUAAGGUUAUUUAUUUUUAAAACUAUUUUAUUUAUUUGAUGGAGAGAGAGCGAGUGAGCAUGCAAGCAUGCACAAGCAGGAGGAGCAGCAGGGAGAGGGUGAGAGCGAAGCAGGCUUCCUGUUGAGCAGGGAGCCCAAUGCAUCCCCUUUAAUCGAAGUUUUAAAAAGUGUUAUAAUUGGGGUGCCUGGGUGGCUCAGUCGGUUAAGCCGCUGCCUUUGGCUUGGGUCAUAAUCUCGGGGUCCUGGGAUCGAGUCCUGCAUCGGGCUUUCUGCUCAGCGGGAAGCCUGCUUCCCUCUCUCUCUCUCUCUGCCUGCCCCUCUGUCUACUGUGAUCUGUGUCUGUCAAAUAAACAAAUAAAAUCUUAAAAAAAAAAUAAAAGUGUUAUAAUUGACCUUAAAAAUUCUGGAAUGUGUAACUCUUUCUUAAGGAUGGGCCACACAGAUUGACUUGCUUCUGAAAAGAAAGAUCUCAAUAAAAGUAGGGCAAACUAAAAAUAAAGAAAGCAGAGGUGCCUGACUGGCUGGGUAGUUAGAGUGUGACUCUUAAUCUGAGGGUGGUGAGUUAGAGCCACACGUUAGGUAUAGAGAUUAGUUUAAAAAAAAAACAAAAGGCAGAAAGAAGGAAAUAACAAAGAUUAAGGCAGAAAAUAAUUCAACAGAAAAUAGAAAACAAAAUAAAAACCAAUAAAAUAUUUAUGAUAAAACGUGCAAACUAUUCCUACUAUAUAACCUGUAUAUAUCUUAUCAUUUACUGUGUGAACUGCUAAUAUAAUGUCUAAUUUGUUCAAUUAAAAAUAAAAGGGGGGCACCUGGGUGAGCUCAGAUGGUUAAGAUUCUGCCUUUGGCUCAGGUCAUGAUCUUAGGGUCCUGGGAUCCAGCCCCAAGUCAGGCUCUUUGCUCAGUGGGGAGUCUGUUUCUCCCUCUCCUUCUGCCUCUCGCCUCUGCUCAUAUUUUAUCUCUCUAUCUUAAAUUAAUGAAUGAAAAUCUUAGGGAAAAAUCCCUUAAAAAUUAAAGGAAAAAGUAUCAAGGAACUACAUCAUAGCAACUUUUAAGGGAGGGUUGAAGUGGAAGCAUUUUUAAAAAAUUCAUUCAUUUGUUUUUGAGAUCUGCUUAAUGUAGACACUCAAGGCCUGGGCAGAGUGGGGGAGUGGCCAGGAACUGGACAGGCAGGCAAGGUGGGUGGUCACAUGCCCAUACCUGGCCCCAGGUAUGGUGGGGGUGGGCCCAGGCACCCCAAGGGGAGUACCAGAAGGGUGGCCCAGGCAGAUAGACCUACUAGGGGACCUGUAGGCCAGGCCUUGAGAAGGUAUCUAAGUCAGGUGCUGAGUACUCAUGGCCAAAGCCUAGCCCAGGGUGGAAGGAUUGGGUCCUGGUUGUGAGCUAGAGGAGCCUAGGGUCCUCCCUGAGCUGGACUCAAGACAUGAUCUGCUGAUUGGACUCAGGCAGCUCCUAGAGACAGAUGUGGAGGUAGAGGUUUUCUUCCAGGUGGUCCAGACAUGAGCUGAUCUGGUCCAACACAAAGCUGAUGGCAGCAUCUUCUGCUUCCCUAAAGCCAUUAUCCUCGUCUUUCCCUCUCACCUGCACAGGCUUGCCCAGAUCCAGGUUGGAGUGACAUCUGGCUGGGGAGCCAAAAGGGCCUUACAAUCAUUGAUGGGGUACAUGUUCCAUCAACAGCUACCACCUGGCAGUAGGUGGAGAUGCCAGAUUGAAAUUGAAGCUCCUUUUUUUAGAGAGAGAGAAUGCACAUGUGGGUAUGGGGUAGGGGGAGCGCAGAGAGUAAGGGAGAGAGAAUAUUUAUUUAUUUGAUAGAGAUCACAAGUAGGCAGAGAGGACAGGCAGAGAGAGAGAGAGGGACAAGCAGGCUCCCCGCUGAGCAGAGAGCCCGAUGUGAGGCUCGAUCCCAGGACCCCAAGAUCAUGACC